AAACUUUCAACAACGGAUCUCUUGGUUCUGGCAUCGAUGAAGAGCGCAGCGAAAUGCGAUAAUUAAUGUGAAUUGCAGACUCAGUGAAUCAUCGAAUCUUUGAACGCACAUUGCGCCCUCUGGUAUUCCGGGGGGCAUGCCUGUUCGAGCGUCAUUA
RNAcentral lists this ribosomal RNA (157 nucleotides) under uncultured fungus. Its description in RNAcentral is "5.8S ribosomal RNA". It matches the Rfam family "5.8S ribosomal RNA". From Rfam's summary of the family: 5.8S ribosomal RNA (5.8S rRNA) is a component of the large subunit of the eukaryotic ribosome. It is transcribed by RNA polymerase I as part of the 45S precursor that also contains 18S and 28S rRNA. Functionally, it is thought that 5.8S rRNA may be involved in ribosome translocation. Lineage: Eukaryota; Fungi. The record is from RNAcentral.